RNAcentral lists this small RNA (580 nucleotides) under Pongo abelii (Sumatran orangutan). RNAcentral's name for it is "processed transcript". The record is from RNAcentral. Lineage: Eukaryota; Metazoa; Chordata; Mammalia; Primates; Hominidae.
AUUUAGAAGACAUCUUGUACUGUUCGAAUGCAGAGGAAGGCGAACGACUCGAUUCUAUGGUUUUGGUAUACUGAGCCUGGGGCUACUGGUGUCAGCCUGGUGGUAGUGCAGCUCAUCUGAUGCCUGGGGCUGCAGGAUCCUAGCUGGUUCCUGUGACAGACCUUGGGAAGCUCAAUCUCAGGAAAAAGAAGAGAGAGCCAACUACUCUACAAAGGAAAAGGGAUGUAGUUUGUAGGAUUUUCCUUGUUAUGAGAGGAGCAGAAACCUAACUGUUGACAAGGAUGUGUUUUCUUAAUUGAAGAAAAUCAUAUCACAUGUGAACUUUCUGACCAUACUGUGGAGCGGUGCUAAUAAGGAGGGUUCUGUGUUCACUUGACUACCAGAAACAUUUCUAGUUUACCAUUAGAGUUUUAGCCGCUUCCAUGCUUCUGUGACUGCAGCUACUCUCAGGAAGCUUCACUGUUGCAGAGGUCCAUUAACUCUUUCAGGACGGUGUGGAAUCAGUGGGGAAAUCUCUAAUUGCUACUGACACAGAGCUUUUAGGGGCCUGGCCUUUGCAGUUCCAGAUCUGCUAGAGCAA